This 543-nucleotide ribosomal RNA is filed under the name uncultured archaeon. RNAcentral describes it as "bacterial SSU rRNA". It matches the Rfam family "Archaeal small subunit ribosomal RNA", at positions 284 to 832 of the family's 1478-position model. The record is from RNAcentral.
GGGAGCCCGGAGAUGGGCACUGAGACAAGGGCCCAGGCCCUACGGGGCGCAGCAGUCGCGAAAACUCCGCAAUGCGCGAAAGCGUGACGGGGCUACCCCGAGUGCCGUCCGCUGAGGAUGGCUUUUCCCCGGUGUAAUGAGCCGAGGGAAUAAGGAGAGGGCAAGACUGGUGUCAGCCGCCGCGGUAAUACCAGCUCUCCGAGUGGUAGGGAUUAUUUGGCUUAAAGCGUCCGUAGCUCGUUUGGAAAGUCUUCCGUUAAAUCCAGCGAUCCCAUCGUUGGACUGCAGAAGAUACUGCUAGACUAGGAGGCGGGAGAAGUCGACGGUAUUUCUGGGGUAGGAGUGAAAUCCUAUAAUCCUAGGAGGACCACCAGUGGCGAAGGCGGUCGACUAGAACGCGCUCGACGGUGAGGGACGAAAGCUGGGGGAGCGAACCGGAUUAGAUACCCGGGUAGUCCCAGCUGUAAACGAUGCAGGCUAGGUGUCGGAGCGGCUACGAGCCGCUUCAGUGCCGCAAGGAAACUGUUAAGCCUGCCGCCUGGG